GAACUCCUUAUGAAGCAACAGGUUUGUUACUAACUGUAGUAUGAAGAGCUUUUGCCUAUGAGUGAAACAUGUCUAUGAAACUUCCUCAAGAGAUCCCAGGAAAAGAGAACACUGAGGAAAGAAGCAAACUUUGUUGCUCCUGAGACUCCUCCUAUUAAUCACAGUCAAGUCAGGAUUUUGAAAAACAGCAGUAGAUAAAGAAAUUACUGUCACUGAAGAAAGAGAGAGCUCCAGGAGCCGCAGCAUUUCACCUACAACCAAGAACAAGGAUGCAAAAUUGAUUCAGGAAUAUCUGAAUACCACUCAGAUACUCAGAUUUGCACCCCAUCAGAGGAAUACAGGGCCACCACUCCAUUUCUUGGCUGUCUGCAUAUUGGGGAGCUUGAUGUCUCCAUGAAGGACUAUGCUUGAGAAGUAGUGGGAUGACAAAUUAAAGUGGUGGUCAAGGAAGUAAAGCCUUGCUGGUAAGAGGUUUUUUCCUUAUCCAAGAUACUGAGAAUCUGGGCUCACACAAAGUGAAAUCAGACUAGGAUGAGGUGCAUCUUAGUGUUUUAAAGAUAAAAUCACUUAAAAAAAUUAUUUGCUACACUUUUAUUUCCAAAUUUCCAGACAUACUGCCCCUAAAGGGAUUUACCUAGAAGCAUUGGAA
Molecule: long non-coding RNA, 649 nt
Filed under: Cyanistes caeruleus (blue tit)
Lineage: Eukaryota; Metazoa; Chordata; Aves; Passeriformes; Paridae
Description: lncRNA (ENSCCEG00000017553.1)
Source: RNAcentral